Molecule: ribosomal RNA, 301 nt
Filed under: uncultured bacterium
Lineage: Bacteria
Description: partial 16S ribosomal RNA
Rfam family: Bacterial small subunit ribosomal RNA
Source: RNAcentral
CAGUCGCCACGGUAAUACGAAGUGGGCUAGCGUUGUUCGGAUUUACUGGGCGUAAAGGGCGCGUAGGCGGGCUGAUAAGUCAGGGGUGAAAUCCCAAGGCUCAACCUUGGAACUGCCUUUGAUACUGUUUGUCUUGAGUUCGAGAGAGGUAAGUGGAACUGCGAGUGUAGAGGUGAAAUUCGUAGAUAUUCGCAAGAACACCAGUGGCGAAGGCGGCUUACUGGCUCGAAACUGACGCUGAGGCGCGAAAGCGUGGGGAGCAAACAGGAUUAGAUACCCCCGUAGUCCCUGUCUCUUAUAA